Molecule: long non-coding RNA, 961 nt
Filed under: Anas platyrhynchos platyrhynchos (common mallard)
Lineage: Eukaryota; Metazoa; Chordata; Aves; Anseriformes; Anatidae
Description: lncRNA (ENSAPLG00000023162.1)
Source: RNAcentral
UGAUGCACGGCUGGCUCUGCUGUUCACUCCUCGGGGAAGAUGCGGUUUGGGAAGUGCUCAUCGAUUGAUGGCUUAGACUGGGGGACACCACAAAUCAGUGUGGUAGGUGAUCUGGGGAGGGUUGGGAAGGACAGCAGCAGAGAACUGCUCCUGGACGGCAGGUGAGCGUCUAGCUUCUGCGGAAAACGAUAGCCAGAAUGCUGCGGGAAGCUGCUGUGAGGAGCAGAGGAGGUCAGGGAACCUGGCAGAAUUCCCAGGCAGAAUAGCCCCAAAGCCAACCCUGAACUUCAGAGGGGCUCAGAGCCAGCUCCUGGGGGUGAGGAGGGCCACAGAAAUAAUUCGAUGCUCUUCUGUCCUCCCUGCAGACUAUGGAUGCCUUGGACACCAUGCUGGUGGCCUUCGUACGCAACUGUCCCAACACCAGUGUCAGCAUAGAGUUGGAGAAUAUGUUGAAGGUUUGGCAUUUGCAAAGAAUUUCCAAAGAAUCCUCUCCGGUCACAUUUGCAGACCACUGUCAACCCAGCAACUUCUCUUCUCGCAGGCGCUGCUGGACUUUGCCCACUCCAAAAACCCAGCUGUGCGUGAGAGGGCUGUGAGGAGGGUUGAGAAGCUGGGUGAUUUCAUCAUCAGUUAUUUUGUGAGCGAGAACUCAGAUGACUAUGAAAAAUACAAGCACAGCUACGAUGAUUCCAGAGAGCUCUACAUCCCCACCCUGGGACAGCUGCUGGGCCACCUCUUCAUUUUCUGCAGUGGCAAUGAAUCCAUGAGAAACGCCGCUUUGGAUGCUCUUUUUCGCUUCUUCAAAAUCUUAAAGGAAACAAGAGGUAAGAAGGUGUGGUGGGCAGCGUCUGUCCGCACACAGACAUCUCCUGGUAUGUCUGCUUGUUCUCCUGAGUAUUGUGAAGGAUUGCUUUUGUGCUUGGUGGAGGCUGCGCACGGAAUUCUGCCAGGUUCCCUGGCC